This 232-nucleotide ribosomal RNA is filed under the name Astrosyne radiata. RNAcentral describes it as "partial Bacterial large subunit ribosomal RNA". It matches the Rfam family "Bacterial large subunit ribosomal RNA", at positions 601 to 830 of the family's 2925-position model. The record is from RNAcentral. Lineage: Eukaryota; Bacillariophyta; Fragilariophyceae; Cyclophorales; Cyclophoraceae.
GUGCCUUUUGCAUAAUGAGCCUACGAGUUACUCCUCACUGGCGAGGUUAAGUUCUUUUGUAACGGAGCCGUAGCGAAAGCGAGUCCAAAUAGGGCGUUUAGUCAGUGGGGGUAGACGCGAAACUUUGUGAUCUAUCCAUGGGCAGGUUGAAGUUGUGGUAACACACAAUGGAGGACCGAACGCAUAAACGUUGAAAAGUUUUGCGAUGACCUGUGGAUAGGGGUGAAAGGCC